CCUACGGGGGGCUGCAGUGGGGAAUAUUGGACAAUGGGCGAAAGCCUGAUCCAGCCAUGCCGCGUGUGUGAAGAAGGCCUUCGGGUUGUAAAGCACUUUCAGUGGGGAAGAAAGCCUUGGGGCUAAUACCCUCGAGGAAGGACAUCACCCACAGAAGAAGCACCGGCUAACUCCGUGCCAGCAGCCGCGGUAAUACGGAGGGUGCGAGCGUUAAUCGGAAUUACUGGGCGUAAAGCGCGCGUAGGCGGUCUGAUAAGCCGGUUGUGAAAGCCCCGGGCUCAGCCUGGGAACGGCAUCCGGAACUGUCAGGCUAGAGUGCAGGAGAGGAAGGUAGAAUUCCCGGUGUAGCGGUGAAAUGCGUAGAGAUCGGGAGGAAUACCAGUGGCGAAGGCGGCCUUCUGGACUGACACUGACGCUGAGGUGCGAAAGCGUGGGUAGCAAACAGGAUUAGAUACCCUGGUAGUC
This 465-nucleotide ribosomal RNA is filed under the name Vreelandella stevensii. Its description in RNAcentral is "partial 16S ribosomal RNA". It matches the Rfam family "Bacterial small subunit ribosomal RNA", at positions 338 to 795 of the family's 1533-position model. Lineage: Bacteria; Pseudomonadati; Pseudomonadota; Gammaproteobacteria; Oceanospirillales; Halomonadaceae. The record is from RNAcentral.